Molecule: ribosomal RNA, 547 nt
Filed under: Vibrio cholerae
Lineage: Bacteria; Pseudomonadati; Pseudomonadota; Gammaproteobacteria; Vibrionales; Vibrionaceae
Also listed under: 1 other name
Description: partial 23S ribosomal RNA
Rfam family: Bacterial large subunit ribosomal RNA
Source: RNAcentral
GAAAUACCACCCUUGUAUGUUUGAUGUUCUAACUUAGACCCAUUAUCUGGGUUGAGGACAGUGCCUGGUGGGUAGUUUGACUGGGGCGGUCUCCUCCCAAAGAGUAACGGAGGAGCACGAAGGUGGGCUAAUCACGGUUGGACAUCGUGAGGUUAGUGCAAUGGCAUAAGCCCGCUUAACUGCGAGAAUGACGGUUCGAGCAGGUGCGAAAGCAGGUCAUAGUGAUCCGGUGGUUCUGUAUGGAAGGGCCAUCGCUCAACGGAUAAAAGGUACUCCGGGGAUAACAGGCUGAUACCGCCCAAGAGUUCAUAUCGACGGCGGUGUUUGGCACCUCGAUGUCGGCUCAUCACAUCCUGGGGCUGAAGUCGGUCCCAAGGGUAUGGCUGUUCGCCAUUUAAAGUGGUACGCGAGCUGGGUUUAGAACGUCGUGAGACAGUUCGGUCCCUAUCUGCCGUGGGCGUUGGAAGAUUGAAGGGGGCUGCUCCUAGUACGAGAGGACCGGAGUGGACGAACCUCUGGUGUUCGGGUUGUGUCGCCAGACGCAUUG